GUGAGACUCUGGGUUCGAUCUUCAGCACCACAUAAGAAUAAAUAAGUGAAAUAAAGGUAUUGUUUCCAACUACAACUAAAAAUGCAGAUUUAUAUUAUACUUGGAUGACCUGGGAAGGAUGGGAUCUCAUGAUACAGGUCAUUUUUGGAAUCCUGUCUCCACUGUAAGUAAGUAAGUAAGAGGUAAGUAUUGUAAGGCAGGUUAUUUAAGAGUAAGAGCAAAUACUAGUUGAGCUUAACAUGUCAGAUACUGUUGAAGUCCUAGAUGUUUCUGAUGUAGGUCUUAGUUUCCCAUCUUUAUGGAAGGACAGUGGAACCUACUUCAUAAAAUUGUGAGGAGUAAAAGAAAUAGUGUAUAUUAAGUACUUGGCCAGAAAUGUAGUAGACAUUCAGUAAUCUUUAUUUAUAAUUUUACUAACAAUAACAGGAAUGAGAAAAGGAUAAUGGGAUGAGCAGCACAUUUAUCUGGAAGUUUAAAUGGGAAUAUUCCUUCUGGAAAGCAAUUGGGUAAGAUCAAAGUCCUCACAUUACUUUGUAGCAAUCUCACCUCUUGGAAUCUCUUCUAAGAAGAUAAUUAGAAAUGUGAAAAGUGAUUCAUAUUUUUUUUAAAAAAUAUUUUUUUUUUUUAGGUGUAGAUG
Molecule: long non-coding RNA, 637 nt
Filed under: Marmota monax (woodchuck)
Lineage: Eukaryota; Metazoa; Chordata; Mammalia; Rodentia; Sciuridae
Source: RNAcentral